Molecule: long non-coding RNA, 335 nt
Filed under: Astyanax mexicanus (Mexican tetra)
Lineage: Eukaryota; Metazoa; Chordata; Actinopteri; Characiformes; Acestrorhamphidae
Description: lncRNA (ENSAMXG00005017129.1)
Source: RNAcentral
UUUACACACAGCAGACACACACUGAGCUUCUUUAACUAAUAAACACUUCUCCGGUUCUGUUUUGGAGAUCGUCUGAAGCAUUCGGAAUGACAGAUUAACCAAAAACCGAAAGAAAGAGAGAGAGAGAGAGAGAGAGAGAGGGGAUGAAACCUCGCCCGCCUCACCACCCCACUGAGAGUCUGAGAGGGAAAGCAGCGCUCGCUCACCCGCUCUCUCAAAUCCUGCUCUCAGGAGGGGUCGCCACGGAGACAGAGGAACAGAGGAUGAAAAGAAUGUGGACUUUUGAGGUGGUGUGUGUCACUGUGUGUGUGUGUGUGUGUGUGCGCUAGUGUGUG